GACGAACGCUGGCGGCGUGCUUAACACAUGCAAGUCGAACGGAAAGGCCCUGCUUUUGUGGGGUGCUCGAGUGGCGAACGGGUGAGUAACACGUGAGUAACCUGCCCUUGACUUUGGGAUAACUUCAGGAAACUGGGGCUAAUACCGGAUAGGAGCUCCUGCUGCAUGGUGGGGGUUGGAAAGUUUCGGCGGUUGGGGAUGGACUCGCGGCUUAUCAGCUUGUUGGUGGGGUAGUGGCUUUCCAAGGCUUUGACGGGUAGCCGGCCUGAGAGGGUGACCGGCCACAUUGGGACUGAGAUACGGCCCAGACUCCUACGGGAGGCAGAAGUGGGGAAUAUUGCAGAAUGGGCGGAAGCCUGAUGCAGCAACGCCGCGUGCGGGAUGACGGCCUUCGGGUUGUAAACCGCUUUCGCCUGUGACGAAGCGUGAGUGACGGUAAUGGGUAAAGAAGCACCGGCUAACUACGUG
RNAcentral lists this ribosomal RNA (468 nucleotides) under uncultured bacterium. Its description in RNAcentral is "partial 16S ribosomal RNA". It matches the Rfam family "Bacterial small subunit ribosomal RNA", at positions 28 to 507 of the family's 1533-position model. The record is from RNAcentral.